RNAcentral lists this ribosomal RNA (511 nucleotides) under uncultured bacterium. RNAcentral describes it as "bacterial SSU rRNA". It matches the Rfam family "Bacterial small subunit ribosomal RNA", at positions 15 to 518 of the family's 1533-position model. The record is from RNAcentral.
GAUUAUGGCUCAGGAUGAACGCUAGCGGCAGGCUUAACACAUGCAAGUCGAGGGGCAGCGGGAUGUAGCAAUACAUUGCCGGCGACCGGCGGAUGGGUGCGUAACGCGUAUGCAACCUACCUUAUACAGGGGAAUAACCUUUCGAAAGGGAGACUAACACCCCAUAGUAUUGAUUUAAGGCAUCUUAGAUUAAUUAAAUAUUUAUAGGUAUAAGAUGGGCAUGCGUAUGAUUAGCUAGUUGGUAAGGUAACGGCUUACCAAGGCGACGAUCAUUAGGGGUUCUGAGAGGAAGGUCCCCCACACUGGUACUGAGACACGGACCAGACUCCUACGGGAGGCAGCAGUGAGGAAUAUUGGUCAAUGGGCGCAAGCCUGAACCAGCCAUGCCGCGUGCAGGAAAGACGGCCUUAUGGGUUGUAAACUGCUUUUACAUAAGACUAACCGUAUAUUUGCGAAUAUACCUGAAUGUAUUAUGAGAAUAAGGAUCGGCUAACUCCGUGCCAGCAGCCGC